This is a long non-coding RNA of Triticum dicoccoides, 455 nucleotides long. RefSeq lists it as uncharacterized. Lineage: Eukaryota; Viridiplantae; Streptophyta; Magnoliopsida; Poales; Poaceae. The transcript has 4 exons. The record is from RefSeq and is a predicted model, not a curated record.
GCACCCACAACCGUGGCGGCGGGGUGUAGGAAUAGCCGGCAGCGGAUGUUCUUCCCUGGACCCCUCGGUGGUGGGUGAGCCCGACGGGGAGCCGCGCCACCACUGAACGCCGAUUCGGGAUGGAAGCAUUCACUUACGCGCCAGCCGCCAGGCUGCAGAUGAAGACACUCCACCGAUGGAGAUGCUUUCGUUGAUGAUUGGCGAGUUGCUCUUGGAAGAGAAGUCAGAGUUCAGUGGGCAGACCUUCGGAGAGUACCUUCGAGCUGGUGUCCCUUCGAUCGCCCCCAUUUCCCAGCUUGGUUGCGGGCAGCUGGGCAUCAUUCGGUACCAGAUCACUUUGAGAUGGCGAGAAUAGCAGCACUCUACACGAUAAAUCUCUGGCUAGUUUACACCUAGGAAGGAUUCUGAAAGAUAUGGCUGAUGAUGCCAUCUAACUUGAGGCACGUGGUCUCUUU